Molecule: ribosomal RNA, 252 nt
Filed under: uncultured bacterium
Lineage: Bacteria
Description: partial 16S ribosomal RNA
Rfam family: Bacterial small subunit ribosomal RNA
Source: RNAcentral
UACGUAGGGGGCUAGCGUUGUCCGGAAUCAUUGGGCGUAAAGAGCGUGUAGGCGGCCCGGUAAGUCCGCUGUGAAAGUCGGGGCUCAACCCUCGAAUGCCGGUGGAUACUGUCGGGCUAGAGUGCGGAAGAGGCGAGUGGAAUUCCUGGUGUAGCGGUGAAAUGCGCAGAUAUCAGGAGGAACACCGAUUGCGAAGGCAGCUCGCUGGGACGUGACUGACGCUGAGACGCGAAAGCGUGGGGAGCAAACAGG